RNAcentral lists this ribosomal RNA (551 nucleotides) under Lamprotripus hirundo. Its description in RNAcentral is "SSU rRNA". It matches the Rfam family "Eukaryotic small subunit ribosomal RNA", at positions 679 to 1233 of the family's 1831-position model. Lineage: Eukaryota; Polycystinea; Nassellaria; Plagiacanthidae. The record is from RNAcentral.
ACGUGAUCNCCNCNUUUAUUUUGUCCCGGCGUUCGGAUGGCAUUAGUUUGCCGUUCGAUCAGUUGGGGCGUGUUUACUUUGAGAAAAUUAGAGUGUUCAAAACAGUCGUACGAUUGUAUAUCAUAGCAUGGAAUAAUAACUGAUGACUUCGGUCCUCUUUUGUUGGAUUCAGCUGGCUGAAGUAAUGAUUGAUAGGGUUAGUCGGAGGUAUUAGUAUUCUGUCGUUAGAGGUGAAAUUCAUGGAUCGGCAGAAGACUGACAACUGCGAAAGCAUUUAUCUAGGAUUUGCUCUUUGAUCAAGAACGAAAGUUGGGGGAUCGAAGACGAUCAGAUACCGUCGUAGUCUCAACUAUAAACUAUACCAGCUAGGGAUUGGCGAGCGUUUGACUUGACCUUGUCAGAACCUUAUGAGAAAUCAAAGCAUUUGGGUUCCGGGGGGAGUAUGGUCGCAAGGCUGAAACUUAAAGGAAUUGACGGAAGGGCACCACAAGUUGUGGAUCCUGUGGCUUAAUUUGACUCAACACGGGAAAACUUACCAGGUCCAGACAUAG